Molecule: ribosomal RNA, 301 nt
Filed under: uncultured bacterium
Lineage: Bacteria
Description: partial 16S ribosomal RNA
Rfam family: Bacterial small subunit ribosomal RNA
Source: RNAcentral
CAGCCCGCGGUAAUACAGAGGGUGCGAGCGUUAAUCGGAUUUACUGGGCGUAAAGCGUGCGUAGGCGGCUUCUUAAGUCGGAUGUGAAAUCCCUGAGCUUAACUUAGGAAUUGCAUUCGAUACUGGGAAGCUAGAGUAUGGGAGAGGAUGGUAGAAUUCCAGGUGUAGCGGUGAAAUGCGUAGAGAUCUGGAGGAAUACCGAUGGCGAAGGCAGCCAUCUGGCCUAAUACUGACGCUGAGGUACGAAAGCAUGGGGAGCAAACAGGAUUAGAUACCCGUGUAGUCCCUGUCUCUUAUACAC